AACGAACGCUGGCGGCAUGCCUAACACAUGCAAGUCGAGCGGAGCGGCGGACGGGUGCGUAAUGCCUAGGAAUCUGCCUGGUAGUGGGGGAUAACGUCCGAAAACGGGCGCCAAUACCGCAUACUUGCACAUGAGCCUAGGUCGGAUGAGCUAGUUGGUGGGGUAAAGGCCUACCAAGGCGGCGAUCCGUAACGGGCCUGAGGGGAUGAUCAGUCACACUGGAACUGAGAAACGGUCCAGACUCCUCCGGGAGGCAGCAGUGGGGAAUAUUGGACAAUGGGCGAAAGCCUGAUCCAGCCAUGCCGCGUGUGUGAAGAAGGUCUUCGGAUUGUAAAGCACUUUAAGUUGGGAGGCGUUACCAACAGAAUAAGCACCGGCUAACUUCGUACCAGCAGCCGCGGUAAUUC
Molecule: ribosomal RNA, 407 nt
Filed under: uncultured bacterium
Lineage: Bacteria
Description: partial 16S ribosomal RNA
Rfam family: Bacterial small subunit ribosomal RNA
Source: RNAcentral